UUUAAAAAAUAUCAGUUAUAUUUUUUUCGUAUCGUAGUCCAAUUAAUCAUUGUUCAUAAAACCUCAGUACUGAAAACGGAAUAGAGACA
Molecule: long non-coding RNA, 89 nt
Organism: Diprion similis
Lineage: Eukaryota; Metazoa; Arthropoda; Insecta; Hymenoptera; Diprionidae
Exons: 3
Source: RefSeq, a predicted model, not a curated record